ACGGAAGGCAGCAGUGGGGAAUAUUGCACAAUGGGGGAAACCCUGAUGCAGCGACGCCGCGUGAGUGAAGAAGUAUUUCGGUAUGUAAAGCUCUAUCAGCAGGAAAGAAAAUGACGGUACCUGACUAAGAAGCCCCGGCUAACUACGUGCCAGCAGCCGCGGUAAUACGCAGGGGGCAAGCGUUAUCCGGAUUUACUGGGUGUAAAGGGAGCGUAGACGGCUUUGCAAGUCUGAAGUGAAAGCCCGGGGCUCAACCCCGGAACUGCUUUGGAAACUGUAGAGCUGGAGUGCAGGAGAGGUAAGUGGAAUUCCUAGUGUAGCGGUGAAAUGCGUAGAUAUUAGGAGGAACACCAGUGGCGAAGGCGGCUUACUGGACUGUAACUGACGUUGAGGCUCGAAGGCGUGGGGAGCAAACAGGAUUAGAUACCCUGGUA
Molecule: ribosomal RNA, 434 nt
Filed under: uncultured Clostridiales Family XIV bacterium
Lineage: Bacteria; Bacillati; Bacillota; Clostridia; Eubacteriales; Clostridiales Family XIV. Incertae Sedis
Description: bacterial SSU rRNA
Rfam family: Bacterial small subunit ribosomal RNA
Source: RNAcentral